This 314-nucleotide ribosomal RNA is filed under the name uncultured soil bacterium. Its description in RNAcentral is "bacterial SSU rRNA". It matches the Rfam family "Bacterial small subunit ribosomal RNA", at positions 63 to 373 of the family's 1533-position model. The record is from RNAcentral.
CGAGCGAUCUCGCAAGGGAUAGCGGCAAACGGGUUAGUAACACGUGAGUAAUCUGCCUUAAAGUUAAGAAUAGCUUCGUGAAAACGGAGGUAAUACUUGAUGUGGCCUAGAUUCAGCAUUGUUUUUAGGUUAAAGUCGGGGACCGCAAGGCCUGACGCUUUAAGAUGAGCUCGCGUCCUAUCAGCUUGUUGGUGGGGUAAUGGCUCACCAAGGCUUAUGACGGGUAGCUGGUCUGAGAGGACGACCAGCAACACUGGGACUGAGACACUGCCCAGACUCCUACGGGAGGCUGCAGUCGAGAAUCUUUAGCAAUG